AUAGUGACUAUUGUGGAUUUAAAUGACUGGUUGUCUUUAAAAUGCAUUUUUAGCAUGAAAUUUGUUUUUGUGACAUGUAAUAUGAUCAUUGGCAAAUUCGAAAACAUGAUUAGAAAUCACAUGCUGAUAAUUAUUGAUGUCAAGGUCGCCAUUGUUUGUAAACAUUGCUUUUAAACAGCAUGCUCGGUGAAAACAAGUAAUUUUACAGGGGGGUACAAACUUUCAGCAAUAGCAAAAAAUCUACAAGGCCAAGCACCUAUUUCUUUGUGAUAUUUUGCAUGCAUAGGGAGUUGCUAAAGCAGUGACAGAGUUUUUGUAGACCGUAUAUUUGCAGGUUGUGUAGUUUGGGAUCAGAUUUAUCAGACAUAUUGCUUGUAGGACAUUGACGGCAGAAACUUGAAAUUUAGUGUGGAGUGCUACCUUAAGGCACACACCACACUAAAUGAAGCCGCAGCUUCGAAUGGCCAGGGAGGAUUUCAUGGAUAUAGUGACUAUUGUGGAUUUAAAUGACUGGUUGUGUAGUUUGGGAUCAGAUUUAUCAGACAUAUUGCUUGUAGGACAUUGACGGCAGAAACUUGAAAUUUAGUGUGGAGUGCUACCUUAAGGUUGUGUAGUUUGGGAUCAGAUUUAUCAGACAUAUUGCUUGUAGGACAUUGACGGCAGAAACUUGAAAUUUAGUGUGGAGUGCUACCACACCACACUAAAUGAAGCCGCAGCUUCGAAUGGCCAGGGAGGAUUUCAUGGAUAUAGUGACUAUUGUGGAUUUAAAUGACUGGUUGUGUAGUUUGGG
This is a long non-coding RNA of Ruditapes philippinarum (Manila clam), 790 nucleotides long. RefSeq lists it as uncharacterized. The transcript has 5 exons. The record is from RefSeq and is a predicted model, not a curated record. NCBI's taxonomy places the organism in Eukaryota, Metazoa, Mollusca, Bivalvia, Venerida, Veneridae.